RNAcentral lists this long non-coding RNA (361 nucleotides) under Monodelphis domestica (gray short-tailed opossum). RNAcentral describes it as "lncRNA (ENSMODG00000031218.2)". The record is from RNAcentral. Lineage: Eukaryota; Metazoa; Chordata; Mammalia; Didelphimorphia; Didelphidae.
CUUUAGCGUUCUUACAAUUGCACUCUUGUCUCUUACUCUCUGCUGCUGACCAGAUAGAGCUGUGUCUCAGGAUUUCACAACUCUCUCCCUGCCUCAGCACCCUCUGAAUGCCUGAUUUUCCUCUGACACUAUGGUAGAGCCCACCUAAGUCAAGAAGAGUCUUAAGAAUGGCGUAUUCUCUAGUCCUGAUAGCCUUGUCCAAUCAAGAAAUGGGCUUCAGUGUCAGGAAGAGGCUUCAAUUUAUUUAUUUUACAAAAACCAUGGUAUGAGUUGGAAGAACUGGUGAGAACUAUCCCAAACCAUCCUUGUUUCAGGUAUGAAAUCACCUCUGCCAUAUCCCCCACACAUGUUCGUCUAUCAA